GACGAACGCCGGCGGCGUGCCUAAUACAUGCAAGUAGAACGCUGAAGGAGGAGCUUGCUUUCUGGAUGAGUUGCGAACGGGUGAGUAACGCGUAGGUAACCUGCCUGGUAGCGGGGGAUAACUAUUGGAAACGAUAGCUAAUACCGCAUAAGAGUAGAUGUUGCAUGACAUUUGCUUAAAAGGUGCAAUUGCAUCACUACCAGAUGGACCUGCGUUGUAUUAGCUAGUUGGUGAGGUAACGGCUCACCAAGGCGACGAUACAUAGCCGACCUGAGAGGGUGAUCGGCCACACUGGGACUGAGACACGGCCCAGACUCCUACGGGAGGCAGCAGUAGGGAAUCUUCGGCAAUGGACGGAAGUCUGACCGAGCAACGCCGCGUGAGUGAAGAAGGUUUUCGGAUCGUAAAGCUCUGUUGUAAGAGAAGAACGAGUGUGAGAGUGGAAAGUUUCACACUGUGACGGAUCUACC
This 470-nucleotide ribosomal RNA is filed under the name Streptococcus mitis. Its description in RNAcentral is "bacterial SSU rRNA". It matches the Rfam family "Bacterial small subunit ribosomal RNA", at positions 28 to 483 of the family's 1533-position model. Lineage: Bacteria; Bacillati; Bacillota; Bacilli; Lactobacillales; Streptococcaceae. The record is from RNAcentral.